RNAcentral lists this ribosomal RNA (251 nucleotides) under uncultured bacterium. RNAcentral's name for it is "partial 16S ribosomal RNA". It matches the Rfam family "Bacterial small subunit ribosomal RNA", at positions 524 to 774 of the family's 1533-position model. The record is from RNAcentral.
UACGUAGGGAGCAAGCGUUAUCCGGAUUUAUUGGGUGUAAAGGGUGCGUAGACGGGAAAAUAAGUUAGUUGUGAAAUCCCCAUGCUUAACAUGGGAACUGCAACUAAAACUGUUUUUCUUGAGUGCUGGAGAGGAAAGUGGAAUUCCUAGUGUAGCGGUGAAAUGCGUAGAUAUUAGGAGGAACACCAGUGGCGAAGGCGACUUUCUGGACAGUAACUGACGUUGAGGCACGAAAGUGUGGGGAGCAAACA